AAGACUACAUUUUCAGGAUAAUUUCUAUAUUUUGUUACUAGAGAAGUUUCUCUGAAUCUGUAAAGCCGGCUACACAAGGAGGAGACUCUGCUUUCUCUCCUCAGCCCGAAGCCUGCUGGUGGUUUUGCUUCAUGGCAACUGUUGUUUGCCACUGAAGAUGGUUCUCUUCCUCUGUGAGCAUGAAUAUAUAGAUGCCUGCUGUUCUGACAUGGACCUCUCUGACACAGGCACUGAAAUUAAACAAAUUGU
This is a small nucleolar RNA of Otolemur garnettii (small-eared galago), 249 nucleotides long. Its record names the gene U3. It matches the Rfam family "Small nucleolar RNA U3". From Rfam's summary of the family: Small nucleolar RNAs (snoRNAs) are involved in the processing and modification of rRNA in the nucleolus. There are two main classes of snoRNAs: the box C/D class, and the box H/ACA class. U3 snoRNA is a member of the box C/D class. The record is from Ensembl. Lineage: Eukaryota; Metazoa; Chordata; Mammalia; Primates; Galagidae.